GCAAUUAUUCAAGCCUUUGGAUGGAAAGAAGCUGUGCCAAUCUACGAGGAUAACGAAUUCGGAGAAGGGAUUGUACCGUUUUUAACCGAUGCCUUAGAGCAGGUAAAUGCGCGCGUACCUUACAGGAGUGUCAUCCCAUCAACAGCGACAGACGAGCAAAUCGUCGCAGAGCUUUCCAAGCUGAAGACUAUGCAAACAAGAGUAUUCAUCGUGCACAUGUUGAGCAGCCUCGGUUCUCUCCUGUUCGCCAAAGCAGCACAACUAGGAAUGAUGAGUAAAGAUUACGCAUGGAUAAUAACAGACAGCAUCACAAACGAAUUAAAUUCAAUGGAUCCUUCUGUCCUAGCAUCCAUGCUAGGAGUAAUAGGAGUAAAGCCUUAUAUUCCACAGACAAAAGAGCUGGACGACUUUGCAAUUCGAUACAAAAACAUGACUCUGCAGAGCAAUCCAAAAGCUCUAAAUCUGGACAUAUAUGGUAUAUGGGCUUAUGACUCGGCUCUUGCACUAGCCAUGGCAGUUGAAAAAGCAGGGUUAUCAAAUCUUACAUAUCAAAAGACAAACACGUCGACAAAUUCUACUGAUCUUGAAGCCUUUGGGGUAUCGUUAAGUGGACCAAAGCUAAUUCAGGCUUUAUCGAGUACCACAUUUAGAGGCCUUGCUGGAAACUUCCAAUUAGUCGAUGGUCAACUCCAAGCACCUCCUUAUGAAAUAGUCAACAUUGUUGCUCAUGGAGUUAGUGGCAUAGGAUAUUGGACAAAAGAGAAUGGAAUUGUAAACAAACUAAAGUUCACUAGUUCAAGCACAAGCGCAUAUUCAACUUCCAAAGACAACCUCGGAUCUAUUACAUGGCCAGGCAACGAAUCAUCUCCACCUAAAGGUUGGGCAGUUCCGACAAAAACCAAGAAACUGAGAGUAGGAGUGCCUGUAAAGGCUGGUUUCACCGAAUUCGUGCGUGUUACGUGGAAUUCGGACAAUACUACUAAAGUGGAAGGAUACUGCAUAGAUGUUUUUGAUGCGGUGAUGGCAGCACUACCAUAUGAUGUGCCGUAUGAAUACAUUCCAUUUGCAACACCUGAUCGCAAGAUGGCUGGAGUUUACAAUGAUUUGGUCUAUGAAGUGUACCUCGGAGUAAGUUCUUCUUUCUUUCCUACAAAAUUAAAAACCAAAUACAUUUUUAUCAACACAGAAGAUGCAGUAUGCUGUGCCUGAACGUUUUUUUUUUUUUUUUUUUUUUUUUUUUUUUUUUUUUUUGUUUUCGCUUAUUAAUGAACAGAACUAUGACGCAGUAGCUGGAGACGUAACAAUUCUCGGAAAUAGGUCUCAGUAUGUCGACUUCACCCUGCCUUACAGAGAGUCUGGUGUUUCGAUGGUUGUACCGAUCCCAGAAGAUAAGAAGGGAAAUACAUGGCUAUUGGUGAAGCCGUUGACUUGGGAACUGUGGUCGACAAUCUUUGUCUCCUUUGUUUUAUUCGGGAUUUUGGUUUGGUUUCUUGAACGCCCAAGAAAUAGAGAUUUCAGAGGGACUGGUUGGGAUCAAUUUUGCAUGAUAUUCUGGUUUUCCUUCUCCACCAUGUUCUUUGCCCACAGUAAGCCACCUUUCAUCAUUUAAAUUACAUUUAGUCAUUUUGCCAAAUGUUACACUAAAGCAAAAUAUAGAGUAUAAUCAUCUAGUCAGAUGUUGAGGAUUAAACCUACUUAACUAACGGAGCAUAGAAAAGGUAAUAAAAUAAGAAGUUAUUUCUGACCUUUCGGCAUUGAAUUUUUUUUUUUGGUAGAGGAGAGGGUGGUAAGCAACUCCGCAAAGGUAGUGGUGAUUGUAUGGCUCUUGGCGGUAUUUAUAUUAACCCAAGGCUAUGCUUCGAGUCUCACAUCCAUGUUAACAGUCCAGAAACUGACAGAUACUGAUGUUAACGAGCUUAUUCGAAACAAGGAAUAUGUGGGCUACUCCAAUACCUCUUUUGUAUACGAAUUUCUGAAAAAACGUUUCGAUAAGUCGCAACUUCGGCCGUUCAAGUCAGCGGAGGAAAUGGAUCAACUUCUCUCCAAAGGGAGUGCAAACGGUGGAAUUGCUGCUGCCUUUCACGAGAUUCCAUACUUAAAUCUGUUUAUAGCAAAAUACCGUUCAAAAUACAUGAUGGUCGGACCCACAUAUAAGGCUGCUGGUUUCGGAUUUGUAUGUGACUCCCUUGACUACAUAUACGUUUCCAUUUUGCGUUGUCGUCUUUUUUUCUUUCUAGACUCUACUUCUCUCUUCUUUUCUGCAGGUCUUCCCAAUAGAUUCUCCUCUAGUACCUCAUGUUUCGAGGAAAAUUCUGAGUGUGACCGAGGGCCAGACGAUGGUGGAGAUUGAGAAGAAGUGGUUGGGAGGUGAGGCCAAACGGCCGGACACUAACACCAAAAGUCUCGGCCUAUCAAGCUUCAGGGUGGUCUUUAUUAUUGUCGGAGCAACCGGACUUGCAGCGAUUAUAAGUUAUAUGAUUAUGUUCGGAUAUGGAACUCAUGUCCACAGUGACGAACCCACAAUCGAGAGACAGAUUUAUGAGUUAUGUGAGUUACUCAAGCGUUGCGAGGAAAGAGACCAACAAAUAAAUAAUCCUGGGAAUCGGAAUGGAAACUAGUGAACCACCAAAAUGCUGUCACAUACAGGUUUUUCGUCGUUGUGAGGAGGUUGUAUCCUAAUUUGUAAAUCUCAUUCUACGUGUUUCAUCGUUUUUCCCCCCACUUUAAAUUGUAUUUGUUGAAAUAAUAAUGUCUUGGGAUUAAAUUCUCUUCUGAGAAUAUCUUCUUGGGACUUCAAUCAGCCACAACUCUUAAGUUAUCUCAAGAUUACAAGCACUCCCUAACAAAGUUCAAAUAUUUCUCUCUUAAUCUUUAAGAUAUAUAUAUUUAACUUGAAAGUUCAACAUAAAAAUAGUUUCUUCUUUUGUAAGUAAGUAAACCUUAAGAAUAUAUUUCAUACUUUAGACGACAUGUAUUCCUGGAUAAGAAACCCGGUGCUUUUAGUUCAAGUCCGGGAUACGAAGCCCGUAUUGUCUAAAAUUUAAAAUUAAAUAUUUAAAUUCAAUUUCACGGUUUAAGAGAAAAAGGCAUAAUUCUGGGCUUUGUAGCCCGUAGCGUAGUUCGGGCUACAAAGUCCGGAAUUAUGAACUUCACUCUGGAUUACGAAAUCCCGAGCCUUCAAAAUCUAUUUAGAUAUACCCUAUUAAAAUUUGCAAGUAGAAUGAGUAGAGAAAAGAAUGACAACUAGAAUGAGUCAAUUACAGUAAUAUCCAAUGACCUAGGACUUAUUUACAUUCUUCUUCUUGGCUAAGUCAAUUACAGUAAUAUCCAAUGGUUUAUUUAUUAUUAUUAUUAUUAUUUUUUAAUCCAAAUACCGUUUUAAAUACACACUCAAACAGAUUUGAACCCCAUCUUCUUGACACCCCACACUGAGAGAAACCACAAUACCAACCUAAGUUAAACCUUGAUCGACAAUAAAAAGUUACCAUAAACGUUAACUUUACAAAUUCGCCAAUCGGGUGCAAGAAUUGUUGGUGUUGAAACUUGAAACUCAUCGGUGUUUUAUAAUUGUAUUCUAGAAUAAACUACAGAAAUUACUUAAGACUUGUGCUAUUUGUAAAAAUAAAAUAAAUAACCAUAUAACUUUUCAGGUCAACUAAGAAAGUAUCAGCCCUUUUUUUUUCAUCUAGUUGCAUGCAUGUUGGAUGGUUCAUUGACUUUUAAAAAGUAAACUCCAUGAUUCUUUCAGCAAACUGUAUUACAUAUAUUUUAGCUGAUGUGACAGUUCAUGUUCAAACAUCCAAACAAUGUUAACCAAAGAAUGAUCCCAUUCUCUCGAAUCUCAAACACGCAAAAUUUUGCCAAAAAGAUAUGGAGAAGAAAAAUACCUGCAACGAUAAUCCCAUUUUGUGUAUCUUCUUUUACUUACUGAUCACUUUAAAUAUUUUCUCCACAAAAACAGCAACGGCCCAAAUCAUCCGUGUAAAAGUCGGAGUUGUGUUAGACAUGGAUGCAUUUGGACGGAUGACAUUCACGUGCAUAUCAAUGGCCCUCUCGGAAUUUUAUGUUACAAAUGACAAAUAUAGAACGAAGCUGAGUCUCACCAGUCGGGACUCUAAAAACGACGUCGUUGGGGCAGCUGCAGCAGGUACAUCAAAGCCUAAAAAAUACACACCCACACACACUCAGGAAAUUAGGAGGAAGAAAUAGAAAGAAAAAAAGAUUAUGCACUUAACCAACUCGUACCGUAAGAUGUUUAUUUGUCAAAUGCUCUAGGAUGAUGAAUUUUUCUUUGCCUUCAAACUUCAUUUCUUUUGCUAGCCUUUUUCAUAUAUUAUUUCCUUCAAGUAGGGCCGAACUGCAAAACAAAUCCGUUGGUCAUAAUUUUCUUAUGCAACCAUUUUCUGUUGCGAUGAUGAGUAGCACAUCAACAGCCAUCGCCUUUGUCUUAUCUUAAAAUUUCGAAUUAAUAUAUAUAUAUAUAUAUAUAUAUAUAUAUAUAUAGAUAUAUAUAUAUAUUAGGAUAAAAAGAUAAUCAGACCUAACCUGAUAAGAGGUUUAUUUAAUUUACAUAAUUCUCUGGUUUUCUUAUUCUUGUUAUGAGGUCUACCAUAUCAAACAAUGGGUCAAUACUCAAUAGCUUUAUCUUGUCUGGAAAAUGUAGACUAUUCAAUAAACUAGUUCGAAAUUCAGAAAUUUUAGAAUAUUAGCAAUUUAGCUCGUUCGAUAGAUAAGUACAUUUAUAAAAACGUUCGAUAGAUAAGUACAUUUAUAACAGUAACAUUGUACUAUAUCGUCAGUAUCUUGCAUAGGUUCAACAGAACAAAUGUUUAUCGGCUAGAUAUCAUAGAGACAAAACAGAGUCUGAAUUAUCUGUUCCUCAAAGGUCAGUUUGCUUAAGCAAGUGCUAGUUAUACAUAUUUUUCGCAAUAAAAGCUAUAAACUAGUCCUAAAUGUAUAGGCGUGAUCUGUUUUAAAGAAAUUUUAAGCCCAAAAAAUUUGAAUUUUCAACAGGUGCGGAGAAACAUUGAAAUAUUAAAUUGACUAAAUAUUCACUCUCAAGAUGGACGUAUCUAGUACUAUUCAGUUUUCUUUCCAACAAAUGAGAUUCUAUACCAGGAAAAUUUGUAUUAAAAUAGUAGUUAAAAUAUUACCUUAUACUGGGAGAAGUGCAAACCGUUCAAGAUGCACAUUACUAAUUGUAACAGUCAACUGAAUGAUUUCUUGCUCAUGAAAUGCAGGUCUGGACCUACUGAAGAAUGUUGAAGUGCAAGCCAUCAUCGGUCCCGUGUACUCAAGUCAGGCUAACUUCCUUAUUUCUCUUGGACUCAAAGCUAAAGUUCCCAUCAUUACUUUCUCAGCCACGAGUCCUUCUCUUUCAUCGCUUCGUAGUCCAUAUUUCAUUCAGGCUACUCUAAAAGACUCUUCACAAGUAGGCGCAAUCGUUGCAAUCAUUCAAGCCUUUGGAUGGAGAGAAGUUGUAACCAUUUACGAGAAUACUGAAUUUGGAGAAGGGAUUAUACCAUUUUUAACCGAUGCCUUAGAAAAGGUAAAAGUGCGUGUACCGUACAGGAGUGUCAUUCAAACUUCAGCAACAGAUGAUCAGAUCCUCGCAGAGCUUUACAAGUUGAUGGCUAUGCAAACCAGAGUUUUCAUCGUCCACAUGUUGAACCCUCUUGCUUCUCGCCUGUUCACCAAAGUGGAACAACUAGGGAUGAUGAGUAAAGAUUAUGCAUGGAUAAUAACAGAUAGCAUCACAAACGAUUUAAAUUCAAUGAACCCUUCUGUCAUAGCAUCCAUGCUAGGAGUAAUAGGAGUAAAACCUUAUGUUCCAAAUACAAAGGAACUGGAUGACUUUAUAACUCGAUACAAGAAAAGGGUUCUGCAAAGCAAUCGAAAAGCCCUUGGCGUGGACAUUUACGGGCUAUGGGCUUACGACUCGGCCAUAGCACUAGCCAUGGCAGCAGAAACUGCAGGACUAAAAAAUCUUACAUAUCAAGAAACGAACACAUCAACAAAUUCUACGGAUCUUGAAGCCAUUGGAGUAUCAAUAAGUGGACCAGAGCUCAUUCAGGCUUUAUCAAAUAUCACAUUUAGGGGCCUUGCUGGAGAUUUUCGAUUGGUCGAUGGCCAACUCCAAGCGCCUCCAUAUGAGAUAGUCAAUAUGGUUGGUCCUGGAGCUAGAGGCAUAGGAUAUUGGACAAAAGAGAACGGAAUCAUCAACAAACUGAACUUCACUAGUUCAAGCACAAAUGAAUAUUCCACUUCCAAGUCCAACCUUGGGCCUACUAUAUGGCCAGGCGACGAAUCAUUUCCACCUAAAGGUUGGGUGGUUCCUACAAGAGGGAAGAAAUUGAAGGUAGGAGUACCCGUAAAGGAUGGUUUCACAGAUUUCGUUCGUGUAACUUGGAAUUCCGACAAUUCUACAACAGUGGAAGGAUACUGCAUAGAUGUUUUUGAUGCUGUGAUGGCAGCACUGCCAUAUGGUGUGCCGUAUGAAUACAUUCCAUUUGCAACAACUGAUCACAAGAUGGCUGGUGAUUACAAUGCGCUGACCCAGCAAGUGUACCUUGGAGUAAGUAUCUUCUUUAUUACAAUGAAUUUAAAAAUCAAACACAUUUUUUUAUCAACAUAGAGCAAGAUGGUACAGCUGACCUUUUCUCUAAUCAAUCAACAGAAUUAUGACGCUGUGGCUGGGGAUGUAACAAUUCUAGCAAAUAGGUCACAGUACGUCGACUUCACUUUGCCGUAUACUGAGUCUGGUGUUUCAAUGGUCGUACCAAUCCAACACGAUAAGAGCAAAAAUACAUGGCUUGUUUUUAAGCCACUGACUAGGGAGCUGUGGUUCACAACCUUUUUCUCUUGUGUUGCAAUUGGGUGUCUGGUUUGGUUUCUUGAACGUGAUGUAAAUACAGAAUUCAGCGGGUCUCCUUUGCAUGAAUUUGGCAUGAUAUUCUGGUUCGCCUUCUCCACCAUGGUCUUUGCUCACAGUAAGCCACCUUUCAUCUUUUAACUACAGUCAUUUUUGCCAAAUGUUACACUAGAGCAAAUCUAAGGCCGUGUUUUGGCAAUUGAUAAUAUUGUAAACAUCUAAACUGAUAUUGAAUGUUAAUAAAAACAAGAAGUUGUUUCUGACCAUUUGGCAUUGAAUUUUUUGGUAGGGGAGAGGGUGAUAAGCAACUGCGCCAGGUUUCUGCUGAUCAUAUGGCUCUUGGCAGUAUUUGUAUUAACCCAAAGCUACUCCGCCAGUCUUACAUCCAUAUUAACAAUCCAGAAGGUGGAGCCAGCAGUUACUGAUAUUAAUGAGCUCAUAAGAAACAAGGAAUAUGUAGGCUACUCGAACACAUCAUUUGUUUUUGGAUUUCUCAAGAAAAUGGAAUUUGAUGCAUCUCGACUUCGGUCAUUCAAGUCAGCGGAGGAAAUGGAUGAACUUCUCUCCAAAGGGAGUGCAAAUGGUGGAAUAGCAGCUGCCUUUCAUGAGAUCCCGUACAUAAAGCUGUUUCUAGGCAAAUACUGUUCAAAAUACAUGAUGGCCGGGCCCACGUACAAGGCUGAAGGUUUUGGAUUCGUAUGUGACCCUCCUCAUCACCUACUUUCAAGUGUAUCUAUCACAUAUAUUUUUUUUUCAUUCUAUGUUGUCGUUUUCUGUACUUUUAAUAAAAUAUCUCUCUUCUUUGCUGCAGGUCUUCCCAAUAGAUUCUCCUCUAGUACCUGAUGUUUCACGAGAAAUUUUGAAUGUGGCGGAGGGCCAGAAGAUGGUCGAGAUUGAGACGACGUGGUUGGGAGAUAAGACCAAAUGUCCAGACCUUAACAGCUUACUUCCACCUAAGAGUCUUGGCCUUUCAAGCUUCAGGGGACUCUUUAUUAUGGUAGGAAUAGCUGGAGUUUUAGCACUUAUAUUUAGAUUCUUCAGUAAAAAACCGCAAUUCCCUGGUGAUGAACUCACAGCGCAGAGCCAGAGAGAUGAAUUACAUCGGUUACUGAACAGGAGGUACGAGGUAGGAGGUGGUCAACAAGGCAAUGUACCUGAGAAUCCAAAUGAACUGCCCGCAAUUCGGGCACAUUUACAUGAACAUGAGUUACAUGAGUUACCGAUGAGGUUCAAUAAUAGAGAUGAACAAGGCAAUUAGUCUAAGAAUCUGAAUUAAAGCGAGUGAAUCACCUAAUUUGUAAUUUUUUGCUUCCACUAUGAUUGUGAUAUAUUGGUACUCUUUGUUGGAUCCUCCGUGACACUUUGUAAGCUGUAACCGAACUUUUAGUAUGAAGAUGUGAUACUAAGAAGGGUGUUCCAAAUCGUGAGGUAAAAACUCAAAUCUUGCUAUCUUAGAAAAUUCUACUCCCCCUUUCCACAAUCCUACUACAGUUCAUCCUCGUCAACAUAUUUGGAUUGUUCUACAUUUUGCUUUUGCUGUAGCAAGAUAGUCAUCGCCACUUUAAAUGUGUAUAACUUCACAAGUGCAAUAGCAGAUGUAUGCUACCUUUCAAUUUCUGAUAUGGGCUACAAAUCACUAGCUUUGAUUAAAAUAUCAUUACAAAGAAGGAAAAAAAAAUGAACUCUGUUAAAGGGACAUCAAGGAAACAUAAAAAAAGCUAGAGGUGUUAUUGUAAAUCAUAAAUCAGUUGCUACAUGUUUCAUUUUCUUUUCCUUGAUUUCUCUUCUUAGGACUUGCACCAGCAAGUUCUCUUCUGUUUCAUUUCAUGUUCGAACCUUUGUACUCUACUGUAAUUAUGACAUAUAAAUUGGAAUUCUGUGUUGGUUAUCUAUACACAUCUAAAAGUCGUCCCGGUUUAAAUUUUAGUUUAGGUCCUUCAGUAGUCAAACUUUUAGUAUGAGGGUAUACCUAAAGAGUGUGUCCAAAUGACCUAAAAUCAUGUCGUAGAACUCACAUUUGGCUGUCUUAUAAACUUCUAUUCACCGCUUCCACAGUCCCACUAGAAUUCCUCCUCGUUAAAGUGUUUACUAAGGGAUGCCAUUCACUAGAGAUCAUACAUAUUCUUUUAGGCAUUUCAACAAACAUGAAAUAGGCAUCAACACCAACAUUAACAAAAAAAAAAAACACAGAAUACCCCCUCAAACAAUAGUUUCUACAAUUGACCCCAAAAAAUAAACUGACACAUAAAUAGAACACAUUUUGUUAUAAGGAUUCCCAAUCAGGAUUAGGUCAGAUAUACUUGGUGUUGAACGAAUCCAAAGUGGUUGAUAUAAAUAGAAGAAAAAAAAACAUAUACAGCAAGUGGUAAUAUUAAAGCAAAAUGAGAGAGCGUUUACCUGAGUAAGAUUAACAGUCUCGAUCAUCCCCAUGGCCAGAGGCGUAGACGUGUCUGGCCGAGGUCUCUUUCACACUCUUCUUCUUCUUCUUCGCCCAGUCAAGUCAAUAUAAGAAAAUGAUCGAUAAAACCAAAUGUCCAGAUUCUAGUACUUUGUUCUCGUCCAACAGUAUCGGUUUAGAGAGCUUUUGGGGGCUGUUCUUGAUAGUGGGAAUUGCUGCAGCUUCAGCAUUGAUAAUCUACGCGAUCAAAUUCCUACGCGAAAAAUAGAGAUAGAGAGAGUGGCUGUGGAGGUGAUUGCGUGAAGUGAGCAGCAGAAUCAUCUAACGAACAUGAUUUUCGAUUUAGUCCGUCGACUUUUUCAGUGGCCUCUCCGUGUACUAAUGGCCCGACUUCUCGAGCCCAAAUGCGCAGAAUGUAGAUUUUCGAGCUAUGCAGCAAGAAAUCGAACUUGUCAAUCCGAAUCAAAACGAGCAAUUGUCAUCAACAACGGUGGACUUGGCGCAUGAAGUUCACUAAGUGUGGUAGCUUUAUCUUUCAUCUCAAUCAGAUAGGGGUAAGAUGACAUCUUGUAAUUUCAUUUCCAUUGUAGAAGAGUACUCUCAUCUAACAUUUCAAGAAGAAUAAAAGAAAAAAAGAUCUCGAUUAGUGUCUUGUUCCAAGAUAGUUCCUUAGGAGCUUUAAUGCCUGAAAUUUUGAUUUGCGAUAACACAUCAUUAGCAUUAAAACUAGCAUUGAUACAAUAUCGAAAAAAAUGUAAUUGUGUAGAAAUUCGGAGAAGGGCUGUUUAGGAAAAAUCACAAAGCUACAGAUUUCACCUUAAGUACGAGCUAAUAGAGGAAAAGAGAUGCAUGACUUGAGUAUGACAAUGGAAGAAUGCAGGCAAUUUCUAAGAGUUAAUAUUCUUGUAGGCAUUUCAACAAACAUGUACUAGGCAUCCACACAAUCCAUCAAUGCAAUCAUUAAAAAGAAUAUAAAUCAGUAAUUAUUAAUUACCAACAUCUCUGUCACGAGUGACGACAACUUGGAUUCUUCUUCUCAUAAAGUACUCCGAGGUUGUCAAUAUUAUCCGCUCUAGUUAGAUUUAAAUAUUUGCACUUGUAAUAAAUACAUUUUCAAUAUUCUGAGUAAGAGCACUUUGUUCACGUCUUCCCCUGCCUUGCCAAAUCAAUUACAUUUAUAACCAAUAAAUCUUUCAAAGUCAAAGUCAACCAUAGAAGUUGCUAAACAUGAUUAAUCACCCUAAUUGCCUCAUGUAAAUUUCAAAUUUCGAAGAGUUCGAGUUUUUUUUGUAAUAAGUCAAACCUCAAGAAUGAAUGAAUAAUUGUUUAUAAGGGUAAAUUACGGUCAUUCCCAUAGGGUAAUGCUAAAUUACGAAAAAAUCCCUCAUGUUUGGAUAUUUAUAAUCAAUUAAUCAUCCCCUCAAGUCCAUCCUUGCGGUGUCAAAUUUGGAAUCUUCCAUAAUCUAGAAGAUUACGUUGAAUUUGACACCGUAAGGGUGUACGCGUAGAAGAUUCAUAGUCGAUGGAUGGUUGUAAUUAUCCAAACAUAAGUGAGUUUGUCGUAAUUUAAUCUUAACUCGGGGGUGGCCGUAACAUAAAAAAAAAAUCAUUCUAAUCAAACCUUUUAACAAGCAUUUAUGAAAAUUUACAACAUCAACCAAUUUUGGAUAGCUCAUUGACUUUACAAAAGUAAACUCCCAUGAUUCUCCAAAGAAACUUCAAAAUACAAUAUAUUAGGACAGCUCAUUUUGGGUCCUACACCAUGUACUUAGUUCUGGAUGUAACAGUUCAAAUUCAAACAUCCAAAAACACAAUGCCCUGUGUAUGCAUUUUUUUUUGGUAAUCAAAUUAAAUCAUCAUCUAGAAAGAAAAAAAAAAGAAAUGGAGAAGAUCAAAACCUGCAGAUAUGUCAUUUUGCAUCUCUUCUGUUAUUUAUGUGCCGUGAUUUUCUCAACAAAAAUGGCAGCGGCACAGAACAUCUCUGUAAGAGUAGGAGUGGUGCUAGACAUGGAUGAGUAUGGAAAGAUGGCAUUCAACUGCAUAUCAAUGGCGCUAUCGGAUUUCUACACUACACAUGAUUCUUACAACACGAGGCUGUUUCUCUACAACCGGGACUCCAACGGAGACGUCAUCGGGGCAGCUGCUGCAGGUACUCCGCCUAAAACACACACAACACACAUUCAAGAAACAAGGAAGAAACGAAAAAAAUAUAAAAAAAUUAUAAACGUAAUCAACUCAUAUAGUAAGAUUUUUUAAUUACUAUGUCAGAUGCUGUAGGAUGAAUAUUCAAUUGGGCCCAACUGCCAACUUUUCUGUUGGUUAUAACUUUCAGGCUUCAGCAGCAUUACUUGUUCUUCUAACUAUACUUCAAGCAUAAUUGGAAACUUACCCAAACAUAGUAAUCCCAAUGUAUAACAUAUUUACCCUCACCAAAAUAUUUCUUUACGGAAAUCGCAUCACAACAUUACCGAUAUUGAAGGAUAAUAGGGUAAAAGGACUAUUUUCUUCACCACGUGACAUCUUUUGAUAACGUUCAUUACUACUGACAAAUCCAGAUCAAGUGAAUUUUUUUUCCUAGAUGAGAAAUACCCUAAACGGUCAUCGCUUUUUACAUCUUAAUUUCAAAAUAAAAAGCAUACAACUAUGUUAUGUUGCCCAUGAAAUGCAGGUUUGGACCUGCUGAAGAAUAUUGAAGUGCAAGCCAUAAUAGGUCCCAUGUACUCGGUACAGGCUAAUUUCCUUAUUUCUCUUGGACAGAAAGCUCACGUUCCUAUUAUUACCUUCUCAGCCACAAGUCCUUCUCUUUCAUCACUAAGGAGUCCUUAUUUCGUUCGGGCUACUCUAAACGACUCUACGCAAGUAAACCCCAUAGUUGCAAUUAUUCAAGCCUUUAAAUGGAAAGAAGUCGUGCCAAUCUAUGAGGAUAACGAAUUCGGGGAAGGGAUUGUACCGUUUUUAAGCGAUGCCUUAGAACAGGUAAAUGUGCGCGUACCUUACAGGAGUGUCAUUCCGUCAUUAGCAACAGACGAACAAAUUGUCGAUGAGCUUAACAAGCUGAAGACUAUGCAAACAAGAGUAUUCAUCGUGCACAUGUUACGCAGUCUCGGUUCUCGCCUGUUCGCCAAAGCAGCACAACUAGGAAUGAUGAGUAAAGAUUACGCAUGGAUAAUAACAGACAGCAUCACAAACGAAUUAACUGCAAUGGAUCCUUCUCUCGUAGCAUCGAUGCUAGGAGUAAUAGGAGUAAAACCUUAUAUUCCACAGACAAAAGAGCUGGACGACUUUGCAAUUCGAUACAAAAACAAGAUUCAGCAGAGCAAUCCAAAAGCUCUAAAUCUGGACAUAUAUGGUAUAUGGGCUUAUGACUCGGCCCUUGCACUAGCCAUGGCAGUUGAAAAAGCAGAGUUAGCAAAUCUUACAUAUCAGAAGACGAACACGUCGACAAAUUCUACAGAUCUUGAAGCCUUUGGGGUAUCGUUAAGUGGACCAAAGCUCAUUCAGGCUUUAUUGAGUAUCACGUUUAGAGGCCUUGCUGGAAACUUCCAAUUAGUCGAUGGCCAACUCCAAGCACCGCCUUACGAAAUAGUCAACAUUGUUGGUCCUGGAGCUAGUGGUAUAGGAUAUUGGACAAAAGAGAAUGGAAUUGUCAACAAACUAAACUUCAGUAGUUCAAGCGCAAGCGCAUAUUCAACUUCCAAAGACAACCUCGGAUCAAUUACAUGGCCAGGCAACGAAUCAUCGCCACCUAAAGGUUGGGUGGUUCCAACAAAAACCAAGAAAAUGAGAGUAGGCGUGCCUGUAAAGGAUGGUUUCACUGAAUUCGUCCGUGUUACAUGGAAUUCCGACAAUUCUACGACAGUGGAAGGAUUCUGCAUAGAUAUUUUUGAUGCGGUGAUGAAAGCACUACCAUAUGAUGUGCCGUAUGAAUACAUUCCAUUUGCAACUCCUGAUCACAAGAUGGCUGGAGAUUAUAAUGAAAUGGCCUAUCAAGUGUACCUUGGAGUAAGUAUUUUCCCUUUUCUUAUUGAAUUUAAAAAUCAAAUACAUUUUCUAUCAGCACAAAGCAAGAUGCACUAUACUAUGCCUGAAUUCUUCUAUUCUCUGCUUAUUGAUGAAUAGAACUAUGACGCUGUGGCUGGUGACGUAACAAUUCUAGGAAAUAGGUCUCAGUACGUAGACUUCACUCUGCCUUUUAUAGAGUCUGGUGUUUCGAUGGUUGUACCGAUCCCAGAGGAUAAGAAGGGAAAUACAUGGAUAUUAGUGAAGCCAUUGACUUGGGAGUUGUGGUCAACAAUAUUCUUCUUUUUUGUUAUAAUUGGGAUUUUGGUUUGGCUUCUUGAACGCCCAGAAAAUAGAGAUUUCAGAGGGUCUCGUUGGGACCAAUUUUGCAUGAUAUUCUGGUUCAGCUUCUCCACCAUGUUCUUUGCUCACAGUAAGCUACCUUUCAUCUUUUAAACUACAGUAAGUCCUUUUUUACCAAAUAUUAAAACCUACUUAAUUAACUCUGCCAAUUUUGGCAUUGACUUUUUUUUUUUUUGGUAGAGGAGAAGGUGAAAACCAACUCCGCCAAGAUAGUGGUGAUUGCAUGGCUAUUGGCGGUAUUUAUAUUAACCCAAGGCUAUGCUUCCAGUCUUACAUCCAUGUUAACAGCCCAGCAGCUGAUAGUGAAUGAUGUUAAUGAGCUUAUAAGAAACAAGGACUAUGUAGGCUACUCGAAUACAUCGUUUGUAUAUGGAUUUCUGAAAAACCUUUUUAACGAGUCGCAACUUCGGCCUUUCAACUCAGCAGAGGAAAUGGAUGAACUUCUCUCCAAAGGGAGUGCAAAUGGUGGAAUAGCAGCUGCCUUUCAUGAGAUCCCAUAUAUAAAGAUGUUUCUAGGCAAAUACUGUUCGAAAUACAUGAUGGUCGGACCCACUUAUAAGGCUGCUGGUUUCGGAUUUGUAUGUGACCCUCUUCACUAUAUAUAUGUUUUCAUUUUUUAUUUUUAUUUUUGCUUUCUAGACUCUCUUUCUCUCUUAUUUGCAGGUUUUUCCAAUAGAUUCUCCUCUAGUACCUGAUGUUUCGAGAGAAAUUUUGAAUGUGACUGAGGUUCAAAAAAUGGUGGAUAUUGAAAAGAAGUGGUUGGGAGAUGAGUCCAAAUGUCCAGACACUGACACCAAAAGUAUUGGCCUAUCAAGCUUCAGGGUAGUCUUUAUUAUUGUAGGAACAGUUGGAAUAGCAGUGGUCAUAAAUUAUAUGAUUAGACAAGGACGUGAAAAUAAGAAUGUCCAUAAAGAUGAUCCCCCAAUUGUCCAUAAUGAUCCCCCAAUUGUCCAUAAUGAUCCCCCAAUUGUCCAUAAUGAUCCCCCAAUUAUCCAUAAUGAUCCCCCAAUUAUCCAUAAUGAUCCCCCAAUUGUCCAUAAUGAUCCCCAAUUAUCCAUAAUGAUCCCCCAAUUAUCCAUAAUGAUCCCCCAAUUAUCCAUAAUGAUCCCAAAAUUGUCGAUAAUGAUCCCACAAUUGAGAGACAGAUAUAUGAGUUAUGGCAGUCACUAAAGACUUUCAAGGAAAGACUAACACCUAAACUCUAGCACAUGUGGCUGUCAGGUUUCUGUUUACCUCAAAAUAAAGAUUGGUGUGCGACUCUUAAUUGAGGAGGUGGUAUCCUAAUUUCUAAAUCUCAUUCUACGUGUUUCGUAAUUUUUUUCCCCUUAAAUUCUCUUUCUUGAAAUAACGUGAUUAACUUCUCUUCUGAGAAUAUCUUCUUGGGACUUUGAUCGGCAAGUUCUCUUAUGUUUUGUUUCAUGUUCUAACCUUUUGCUUUUACUGUGAUUAUGAUACAUAAAUUUGAACUUUGUUUUGGUUAUGUAUAUCCUCAUAAAACUUUAUCCAAAAGUUUGCAUUUUUUAUCGAUUCCUCAUUGACUCUUGUAAGUUGUAAGGGUGUGAGAGUGAGACUAAGAAAUGUGUUCGAAAUCAUGACAUAGAAACUCAAAUUUUUGCUGUCUUGGAAAGUUCUACUCACCCCUUACAUAUUCCCACUAUAAUUCCCUCUCGUCAAACAUAUUUGGAUUCUUCUACAUUAUAGCUUUUACGAUGGAAAAACUUAAGCUAACAGUGAAAAUGAGAUGCACAAGGAAUUAAAUGUUUACUGAGGAAUGACAAUCAUUACGAGCACGACAAUGGAAGUAAGGAGAUAAUUUCUAGGAGUUCAUAUUUGGGUACCGAGUAAGAAUUUGAGUAUCCUUGUCUAACAUGUUGAGCUUCGUGCCGCACGUGCAGACGUAUCUGAUCGAGGUCUCCUUUCUCCAAUUCUUCUUCUUCUUUUUGCCAAACUCAACUACAUUUGUACACAAUGAAUCACUCAAAGUCAGUUUUACCAAUAAAAAAGGACAAAAGGAAAAAAAAUCAAAUUUACAUUAUUUACUCAGCUCUGUGAUUACAUGGAAGUUGGAAAUAAAACAGAAUCCUUCUGUGAAUCUUGAGAAUAUAUUUUGUAAUUUACGCAGAGUGUUUUACGGGCUACGAAACAUUCCAAUUUUUCAAUAACAUGCAAUAUUUAAAUUAUGUUCUAAAAUUGCGAACACUCUCUUGAGUAAUUACAAUACAAAAUACCCUAAAUUUAAUUUUAAUUUACAGGUAAUUGGAAAGGUGUAAUCUGCAAGUGGAAUGGAUUGGGAAAUGAGUAGAGAAAAGAAUGACAAGUAGACUAUGAGUGUGCUUGUCUUCACGUCUUGAGCCUUAUGGAAAGUUGACCUUUCUGGUCGAAGACUUAUUUAUAUUCUUCUUCUUGACCAAGUCAACACACACGUACACACCCAAUCAAAUUUGAACCCCGUCCUCUCCCACACCCCACAGUGAGAGAAAAAGCCACAAUACCAACCUAAGGCCUUAAUUGACGAUAAAAGGUUACCUUUAACAAAUAGUCAAUAGGAUACAAGGACUGUUGGUGACGAAACCAAUAGGUAUUUUAUAUUUUGGAAUAAAUUACAGAAACUAUUUAAGACUUGUGCUAUUUGUAAAAGUAAAAUAAAGGGAAAGAUCAUAUAACUUUUCGGAUCAGCUUAAAAAUUACCAACCAUUUUUUUCAUCAAGUUGCAUGCAUGUUGGUGAUACGUCAUUGACUUCACAAAAGUAAACUCUAUGAUUCUUUCAGCACACACCAUGCUGGAUUAUAUAUAUAUUCUGUAUUAUACACAUAGCACAGACCAUGUUUUGGGCCCUACCUAUAUUUUAACUGUGGAUGUGACAGUUGAAGACAAACCCUUCAAACAAUGGUAACCAAACAAUGAUCAUUCUCUCAAGUCUCAAACAUGCAAAAUUUAGGAAAAAAGGAUAUGGAGAAGAGAAGAAUUACCUGCAGCAAACCAAUUCUGCAUCUCUUCUUUUAUUUAUUGAUCACUUUGAAGAUUUUUCCUACAAAAAUGGCGACGGCUCAGAACAUCACUGUAAGAGUAGGGGUUGUGUUAAACAUGGAUGGUUUUGGACAGAUGUCAUUCAACUGCUUAUCAAUGGCGCUUACGGAUUUCUACUCUACGCACAAACAAUAUAGAACGAAGCUGGUUCUUACCGACCGGGACUCCAAAGACGAUGCCGUUGGAGCAGCUGCAGCAGGUACUCUGCCUAUAAAAAAACAUAUAACACACACUCAGGAAAUAAGGAAGAAGAAAUAGAGGAAACAAAAAGUUAUAAUUUGAUUUAGCCUAUUAACUAUUCAAUGAUUUUCUUAUUCUUGUUCUGAGGUCUCCCAUGUGAAACAAUGGGUCAAUCGCUUUGUCUUGUCUGAAAAUGGAUGUUAUUAAUUAAACUAGUUGGCAAUCAAGAAAUUCUAUAAAUUUCAAAUUACAAUUCUGUAGGAACAAUCCAUAAUGAUUUUUUUGGGUAUGGCAUUUUAGUCUGUCCGGGAAACAAGUUUAUGUAUAAGAAAGAGUAAACGCUCUACUACUAUAUUGUUAGUUUCUUGCUCAAGUUCAACAGAACAAGAUGUUACUAGAUAUCACAGGGCCAAAAAACACUCUUAUUUAUCUGUUCCUCACAGGCUAGUUUGCUUAAGCAUUAUACAUAUUUUUCCCAAUAAAAGCUAUAAACUUUUCCUAGUUGUAUAAGUGAGAUUUUAAAAAAAAUUUAAGCCCACAAAACUUCAAUUUUCAAGAAAGGAGGAAGAACAUUGAAAUAUUAAAAUUUUCUAAAUAUUCACUCAAGAUGUGGCUGUAUCUACUACUAUUCAGUUCUUUACAUGGAAAAAUUGUGUUGAAGUACUAGCUGAAAUAUUACCAUAUACUGGGAAAGUGCAAACAGAUUCAAGAUGCACCUUCCAGAAUGUAGGCAAUCGACUGAUGAACGUUUUGUUGCACAUGAAAUGCAGGUCUGGACCUACUGAAGAACGUUGAAGUGCAAGCAAUCAUAGGUC
Molecule: long non-coding RNA, 17654 nt
Filed under: Erythranthe guttata (spotted monkey flower)
Lineage: Eukaryota; Viridiplantae; Streptophyta; Magnoliopsida; Lamiales; Phrymaceae
Description: long non-coding RNA (EGUT_LNC003377)
Source: RNAcentral